This 73-nucleotide transfer RNA is filed under the name Mustela putorius furo (domestic ferret). It matches the Rfam family "tRNA". Rfam says of the family: Transfer RNA (tRNA) molecules are approximately 80 nucleotides in length. Their secondary structure includes four short double-helical elements and three loops (D, anti-codon, and T loops). The record is from Rfam by way of RNAcentral. RNAcentral also lists the same sequence under 2 other names. Lineage: Eukaryota; Metazoa; Chordata; Mammalia; Carnivora; Mustelidae.
ACCUGGCUGGCUCAGUCAGUAGAGCAUGUGACUCUUAAUCUUAGGGUUGUGAGUUCAAGCCUCACAUUGGGUG